UACGUAGGGGGAAAGCGUUGUCCGGAAUCAUUGGGCGUAAAGAGCGUGUAGGCGGCCCGGUAAGUCCGCUGUGAAAGUCCAGGGCUCAACCCUGGGAUGCCGGUGGAUACUGUCGGGCUCGAGUCCGGAAGAGGAGUGUGGAAUUCCUGGUGUAGCGGUGAAAUGCGCAGAUAUCAGGAGGAACACCAAUGGCGAAGGCAGCACUCUGGGACGUGACUGACGCUGAGACGCGAAAGCGUGGGGAGCAAACAGG
Molecule: ribosomal RNA, 253 nt
Filed under: uncultured bacterium
Lineage: Bacteria
Description: partial 16S ribosomal RNA
Rfam family: Bacterial small subunit ribosomal RNA
Source: RNAcentral